AAUAUAUCAAGAGUGGCGACGAGAGAAUUGGCUUGACGACUCGCUCAGCAACCUUCAAACGAAAGGUGCUAAAUCCAACCAAGUGUUGCAUAGGCAAUAUGAGGAAAGAUAAGUA
Molecule: non-coding RNA, 115 nt
Filed under: Candidatus Nomuraibacteriota
Lineage: Bacteria
Description: Candidatus Nomurabacteria SAM-I sequence
Rfam family: SAM riboswitch aptamer (S box leader)
About the family: The SAM riboswitch is found upstream of a number of genes which code for proteins involved in methionine or cysteine biosynthesis in Gram-positive bacteria. The SAM riboswitch acts at the level of transcription termination control. The predicted structure consists of a complex stem-loop region followed by a single stem loop terminator region.
Source: RNAcentral